RNAcentral lists this ribosomal RNA (253 nucleotides) under uncultured bacterium. RNAcentral's name for it is "partial 16S ribosomal RNA". It matches the Rfam family "Bacterial small subunit ribosomal RNA", at positions 524 to 776 of the family's 1533-position model. The record is from RNAcentral.
UACGAAGGGGGCUAGCGUUGCUCGGAAUUACUGGGCGUAAAGCGCACGUAGGCGGCUCUUUAAGUCGGGGGUGAAAUCCUGGAGUUCAACUCCAGAACUGCCUUCGAUACUGUAGAGCUUGAGUUCGGGAGAGGUGAGUGGAACUGCGAGUGUAGAGGUGAAAUUCGUAGAUAUUCGCAAGAACACCAGUGGCGAAGGCGGCUCACUGGCCCGAUACUGACGCUGAGGAGCGAAAGCGUGGGGAGCGAACAGG